RNAcentral lists this long non-coding RNA (2162 nucleotides) under Apis mellifera (honey bee). RNAcentral describes it as "uncharacterized LOC102655724, transcript variant X1". Lineage: Eukaryota; Metazoa; Arthropoda; Insecta; Hymenoptera; Apidae. The record is from RNAcentral.
CAACGUAUUCAGAUAGAUUUCGAAAUAUAUAUUUAGAUUUCUAUAUUUCUUUUUGUUAUCGAUAGAAGUAGUCGUAAUAAUAGAAACGAAAGGAUCGCUUUCACGCUAGAAUGCAAUGAAAAUAAAUAAACGUUAAAAUUCAGAGCAUACGUUCCUCUGCUUCACGAAGCGGAAUAUACCUAUUAAACGAUGCAGCCACGCGCCAAAAUAAAAGAUCAUGGGGGAGACUAAAUAGUUUCCUAUAGCCGCAGGCAGUGCACGAUUUGUGCAUCGAACUGUCAUAGGGACAUAGGGAUAUUGAACGUUCUCACGUUUUUCACAUGGCCAGUUCGAAACGUCACUUUUGAUAUUCGUGCUGUUCAAUGAAUCUCAACAAUUGAUAAAAACAGGAUAGAGAUGUGAGAUUCGUAAAAAAAAAACGCAAAAGAGAAGUAACUAUAGAGAUUCUGAUUCGAAGUCUGAAGGGUACUUGAAAACGAAAAUGGCAAAGAAAUCGCAAACGGCAAUCACGGACUAAGUACUAACCUAAUCAACCAAUCUUCGUUCUGUUCCUCUGUUUCACUGCUCCUCGAUUCUUUUACUCAAAGAAAGAAAAUGAUUCGCUACCCUCGAAUUAUCCUUUUUGUUACAAUUCUUCUUAUCGAAUGAAGUUUAAACUAUAGAUCGGUCUACUCUUUCCCGAUUGGAAUGACUUAUGGGCAUGCGGCGUGCUUUUGGUCUCCGCGAGUCUAUCGCAGGAUUAUAGCGAGCCAUGCAACUAUAAUAAUCUUCCUCGUGGCGAUUUUUACUUCUCUUCGAUAAUAUUGGAAUUUUGAUUGAUGAAGUGAUUUUUGCUGACUUUUAAGAAAUGGAUCAAAAAUAAUGGAUAAAAUAACAUCCCAGUACAAUUGGAUUAUAAUCUCCAAAACUUGAAGAAAAAUACAAAACAAUUGCUCUUCCCUAUUCUCUGCGCUCAACAUUCCAAUUAAUGUAAAUCAUAGUAGUAACGAUACUACUCCACUGGGAUCGCUUCGUGGAAAUUUCCGUGCAUUCCGAAAAUUGCCAGGUCCCCAAGUGAGCGAAAAUUGGAUCGUUUGUAUCAUUUGCGACUGUAACGCCGGCAAAUGCCAUCCCAGGCUAUUAUAAACACGAUAGAAUGAGGUUUGGCAGAGAGUAGGCCAAUGAUCGGAUUAUCCUGGAAACUUCUUGGGCAGAGAAACACCCGUGAACUUAGUAUGUGCCGAGAAGCGUGUACCAUGCUCGUAUAUCGACAUAAGGCAUUGUUAGGAUUCCCGGGGGACAAACCGAGAUCAAACGCUGUUAGCGCAAACUAUGCCCUCGAUUCUCGCUUAAGUUCAUUUUAGUACCAUACCUCCAACCUUGCAAGAUGUGUUACUAGAUGUGUACUAAUGCCUUUUAUUUGGAUUUAUUUUUAUUCUUUAAUUCUGUGUUUUUUUUUUUUAGAUGGUGGAUUUAUUAGAUGGUGGUGAUCUUAUUUAUUAGUAAUCAUUCCUAUUUUGUCGACAUUUAUUUAUUUUUAAUAGAAGAUAUAGACAAUGUUUGUACAUUUACAUGAAGAAGAAUGUUAAAAAUAGUUUUAGAUGAUACUGUUUUUGCUGAAUAUAAUUAUAUAAGUAAUCCAAGUUGCCUGGAGAGAGUUAAUUAUUAUAAAUAUAUUAAAUAUUGGAUUAAUCAUUAUUAUUAUAUCAACUUUUUUAUUUAUUUUGGAAAUUAAUCUUCAAGAAUAGAUUCUCCAAAAAUUUCUUAUGAAUAUAUUAACAUCCUAUAUACACAUGUAUCUGGUGCACACGAGGUUUGGUAUAUCGUAUCCGAAAAAAAGCAUUCGUGAAGCGGUGGCCCGACAAUGGCGGCCAGUAAUAAAUUAUAAAUCGAAAAAAGGAGGAACAACAGCAACAAGAAGCGGCAACCGCGGCGAGUUACGGUUUCGCGUUAAAUAUGAAAUAUUGCUAUCCAUGUCUCGAAAGUGCGCAUGUAUACAAGGUAGAAUGUGUAUACGUAUACAUAUAAAAGUAGUACGGUAUUAAGUAGCUGUUUAACAUAUUUUAAUUGCCAAACUAAAAUUUGAAAUACCACUAUAUGCUAGUUAUAAUAACUUUCCUAAUAUCUAUUAUAAAUCUUUGUAAAACAUUUGUCUAUAAAAGUGGAAGUUUAGUGGAAGUGAA